This 71-nucleotide transfer RNA is filed under the name Loxodonta africana (African savanna elephant). It matches the Rfam family "tRNA". Rfam says of the family: Transfer RNA (tRNA) molecules are approximately 80 nucleotides in length. The record is from Rfam by way of RNAcentral. Lineage: Eukaryota; Metazoa; Chordata; Mammalia; Proboscidea; Elephantidae.
GUAGUGGUGGUUCAGUGGUGGAAUUCUCAGCUUCCAUACAGGAGACCCAGGUUCAUUUCCUGGCCAGUGCA